This 1065-nucleotide long non-coding RNA is filed under the name Sinocyclocheilus grahami. RNAcentral describes it as "lncRNA (ENSSGRG00000017660.1)". The record is from RNAcentral. Lineage: Eukaryota; Metazoa; Chordata; Actinopteri; Cypriniformes; Cyprinidae.
UGCUAAUGGGCGAUUUUCUGUCCGGUGAGCGGUGACUUCUUUUUACUUUUACAGAACUGGUUGCCUCCUGGGUAUAAAUAUCACUUCUGCACCUAUCGUUUGUGCACUACACAAGGUGAUUCACACCUGGACCACACAAGUUUUGAGGCAUCACUAAGAAUUGCGUUGACAGAGAUUUGUGAAGUAAAAGAAUGGGUGAAAAAGCUUAGUGAAUCAUCAGGAGUGAGUUGGAGAGUGGCAGUGACAAAACCAAAUAAGGGACAACGUGUGCUUUAUAAGGCUCAUUAUAGGUGCCAGCACAAUGUUUAUGUCCGAUCAGACACGGCUAAUCAAAGACGGCUGUCAAAAAAUACAUGCUGUGAGGCAAAACUGAUUUGCACUCUGGUGAAGACUACAGACAAAAGGGGAGGAACUAGUAGAUACAGGAAGUUCCUGACCUAUCUACAGAGUCUUUACAGUCGACGUGAGAGUUGGGCUCUCAGCUAUAGGAGGGACUUGCCAACACGUGGCAACCAAACAAAUAACUAUGUGGAGGCUGCAAUGCGUGUCUUGAAAGACAAAAUACUUCAAAGGACAAAAGCAUUCAACCUGCCUCAAUUAUUCAACCUUUUCAUCACCCGACUAGAGAUGUACUAUAAAGCACGUGUGACAGACGUUGCACUUGGCCAUUGGGAGGCAUUCCACCGGUCAAGAUUACUUGCUACACAAAGUAAUAUAAAAGCAUCUGAUAUUUCUCAGGUUGGAGAAAAGACAUUUCAGGUGAGAUCGUCCACAUCAGGGCACACCUAUACAGUGGACAUGGAGUUGGAGCUCUGCACUUGUCCAGUUGGCCAUAGUGGGGCACCAUGCAAACACCAGGCAGCAGUAGUGCAAAAUUACAACAUCACCUCCAUCAACUUUCUCCCCACAACAGCUGAAAUGAGGGCUAAGCUGCUGAAAAUAACAAAAGCCUCAGUUUCUCUUGACUUUCUAAACCCUUUACGGCAAAAUAUGCCAACGCCAAGCACAUUAGCUCCAGGUAAGAAAGUUCAAGUGGGACAUAGAAACGUCAUCAUACAUGCUUAA